This 420-nucleotide ribosomal RNA is filed under the name bacterium. Its description in RNAcentral is "partial 16S ribosomal RNA". It matches the Rfam family "Bacterial small subunit ribosomal RNA", at positions 355 to 776 of the family's 1533-position model. The record is from RNAcentral.
UGGGGGAUAUUGCACAAUGGGCGAAAGCCUGAUGCAGCGACGCCGCGUGGGGGAUGAAGGCUUUCGGGUUGUAAACCUCUUUCGCUAUCGAACAAGGCCCGCUUAGGGUGGGUUGAGGGUAGGUGGAGAAGAAGCGCCGGCUAACUACGUGCCAGCAGCCGCGGUAAUACGUAGGGCGCGAGCGUUGUCCGGAAUUAUUGGGCGUAAAGGGCUUGUAGGCGGCUUGUUGCGCCUGCUGUGAAAACGCGGGGCUUAACUUCGCGCGUGCAGUGAGUACGGGCAGGCUUGAGUGUGGUAGGGGUGACUGGAAUUCCAGGUGUAGCGGUGGAAUGCGCAGAUAUCUGGAGGAACACCGAUGGCGAAGGCAGGUCACUGGGCCAUUACUGACGCUGAGGAGCGAAAGCAUGGGUAGCGAACAGG